RNAcentral lists this ribosomal RNA (920 nucleotides) under uncultured bacterium. RNAcentral describes it as "bacterial SSU rRNA". It matches the Rfam family "Bacterial small subunit ribosomal RNA", at positions 585 to 1502 of the family's 1533-position model. The record is from RNAcentral.
AAGUCAGAUGUGAAAGGCGUAGGCUUAACCUAUGUAAGCAUAUGAAACUGUCAGACUUGAGGUAAGGAGAGGAAAGUGGAAUUCCUAGUGUAGCGGUGAAAUGCGUAGAUAUUAGGAGGAAUACCAGUGGCGAAGGCGACUUUCUGGACUUAAACUGACGCUGAGGAACGAAAGCGUGGGGAGCAAACAGGAUUAGAUACCCUGGUAGUCCACGCCGUAAACGAUGAGUGCUAGGUGUCGGGUAGAAAUAUUCGGUGCCGCAGCUAACGCAAUAAGCACUCCGCCUGGGGAGUACGUACGCAAGUAUGAAACUCAAAGGAAUUGACGGGGACCCGCACAAGCAGCGGAGCAUGUGGUUUAAUUCGAAGCAACGCGAAGAACCUUACCAGGGCUUGACAUGCCCCUGACCGCGCUAGAGAUAGCGAAUUAUCCUUUCGGGGAUACAGGGGACACAGGUGGUGCAUGGUUGUCGUCAGCUCGUGUCGUGAGAUGUUGGGUUAAGUCCCGCAACGAGCGCAACCCUUGUAUUUAGUUGCCAGCAUUAAGUUGGGCACUCUAGAUAGACUGCCGUGGACAACACGGAGGAAGGUGGGGAUGACGUCAAAUCAUCAUGCCCUUUAUGUCCUGGGCUACACACGUGCUACAAUGGUCGGUACAACGAGCAGCAAGCUAGCGAUAGCAAGCGAAUCUCUAAAAGCCGAUCCCAGUUCGGAUUGUAGGCUGCAACUCGCCUACAUGAAGUCGGAGUUGCUAGUAAUCGCGAAUCAGCAUGUCGCGGUGAAUGCGUUCCCGGGUCUUGUACACACCGCCCGUCACACCAUGGGAGUUGUCAAUACCCGAAGCCAGUGAGCUAACCAGAAAUGGAGGCAGCUGUCGAAGGUAGGGGCAAUGACUGGGGUGAAGUCGUAACAAGGUAGCCG